CUUUCCUACAGAAUUUUUUUUUUUUUUUAUUGUUAAAUUUCCAAGUAAUGUUUAGGUGAAGUGCUUAAAAACAAACAUAGGAAAUGUACCAUAUGAAAAUAGACAGCUUUUUAUGUGAUUGAAGAUCUAUUUGGUCAACGCUUGCAAGUAGUGACUUUUUCUUUCGAUUCUGAUUUCAUUUUGAUUUCUUUAUAAAUUCACAGCUUGUUUCCUUCACUGUGUAUGUGAUGCACAGAUAGAAAAAAAGUGUUCUAUUUUAUACAGGUGACGUUUCAUUCAUUUUCAUCAAGGGCUACGAAAAACACGCCACAUGAAAACCAGAAAUGAUUGGUCACAGUUCAAAGUGCGAUUCAGUACUUGCAGAAACCAAUCACCAAACACUCAUGCAUUAUUCAUCAUUUUAUCACUUUUGCUGCCAUGCAUCUGAGUUAAUCACAUGCCACGGUCAUCAGACGCUCUACUAGAAAAACAAACUCCCAAACGUUUUCUUGAUAGAUAUAAAACCUGACGUGUUAUUUGUAAACUGAACCCGUGUAAUUCAGUGUUUAAGUGGGGUUUGGAAAUGUCACACCAUUUUGUAAAUCCUGCAGUGUUUUCUUCGCUCUUCGUAGUGAGUUAGAUUUGAAGAAACUGAUGAAACGAAGCAAACUGAAAUACCAUUAUUUGGAUGUACGUCCUAUUCUAAAGUGUUCAAAUGGAUCUUAGUUUACUGCGACUUUCGAGUUGAGGUCUGCUCACUAUGAGAACAGUUUUCUUAUCAAGAAAAAACAAAGGGGGCGUUAUUCGGCACAGCUUGAUUGUUCUUAAUGCACUUUUUGGUUUUUCCAUGCAAACGCUUCGAGCUGCAGGCCGACCAUUCCAGCUACACAUAUCUAUAAAUGUGCCAGUCCCAGAUAUCUCGUAUUCGACGUUCCCUCAAAAACCUCUACCUCUGUGAGCCGUGAGAUGUUUUCAGGCAUUUUAGGAUCGGUAGUCACGUGACAAGCACACUUUUUAGUCCGUAGGGCACAGUCAGUGAGGUUUGGAGGCCAAACUUUGUCCAUUUAUUAGAUCUUGCCAAUAACCCGCAUGUAAACACGGCAAAAACAACACCUUUCUCAGGCCAAAACAAUCUUCCUAACAGGUCCCGGGUUCCAAGUGGUACGUGGAAAGUGUCUGUCCCACUGCUUUUGUUUGAGUUCUGUAGCGGACAAGUGAAUAGACAUAUCAGUUAUGAAGGCUUUGGCUGUUCUGGGUAACAGUUUAGAUAUAAUUUAGGCUAGAAAAUACCAUAUACAAAUGCAUAAAUGCUUGAGCAAAGCAUUGGAAACCUGUCUUGUUGAUAAUCCUCAGUACUCAAGAGGGCGCUAGAGUUCCCUUCAAGUGUCUGUGCCAUUAUACCGAAAGUUAUUACUCCUGAAUUAAGGAAGAUUGGCUGUGGAUGUUGCUUUUGUGGCAGCCAAUUGCACUGUAUUCACUUUUGACUUAUCUGGCUUGAAAAAAAAAAUUGUACACAUUCCUAUCUUUCUCUAGUGUGCAUAACAUAAGGUCGCUUGCCUCUUGAGUUCUGUGUCUGAGUUCUCAUGAUGGUUGUGAUUCAGUUCAAUGACUCUUUGCAUUUGAGCACUUGUAAAACUCUCUUAGUGAGAUGCAGUGAACACAUAAGCUUAUUGACAUGUAGUCAGAUUUGCUGGCCCGUUGCAGACAACAGAGCAAGAUGAUUGUUAUUUCCAUGAAAGCAUGUUUACUGGUACGGUUAGGUGCAUCUGUGUGGUGGACGGCCGAAUGGUUGACGUCCAGACCCAAUGAAAGAGUCACUAAAAUCUGAUUUCUGCUUUUCAUCCCGUUCUUUCAUUGUAAUGCAUUGCCUGAAAGCUGUUAUUUCCAGGACCACUUGAUCAUGUACAUUUUAUUUGGGUUUUCUCACUCAUUAUUUUUCUGCUUCUUUGUACCCUUUUAUUUUGUAAUUAUACCAAAUGUAAAUGUUGUAUAAUAUUGUGCGUGCCAAUCCCCUUCUCUGAGACCGACUCGUAACAAGUGCCAAUUGUUGUCCGAAUCACAUGCGGACUGUGAAAUUAGACAUGGUCCACUUUUAAAAAUGAGUAAAACACUAAAGAAGAGAGUAAAUGGAUUUACUUUGUAUUUAAGUUAGAAGAUAAACUGCUGUUUUUCUCUUUUCUUUUCUUUUUUUUUAAGGAAUUGUAAUUAUUAAAGCAUGUGCUCUUUGUCCAGGUGGGAGUUGUGGGCUCAGACAAACAUCGAAAUCAUCAAGACGAGAAAACAUAGUGGAAAUUAAUUUUACAACAUUCUCGCCAUAUUUUAUUGUUGUUUUUAUUUGUAUUUGUUUCAUUUCAACCACUGUUGCCUGAACCUCAUUCAAACAUGGAAAUGAUUUUCAUAACCGCCUUCUAAAAAAAAAAAAAAAUUAUAAAGUAUCUGUUUUAAAUUUAAAUAAAUUUGUUCCUAUACUUGCU
This is a long non-coding RNA of Cyprinus carpio carpio, 2453 nucleotides long. The record is from Ensembl. NCBI's taxonomy places the organism in Eukaryota, Metazoa, Chordata, Actinopteri, Cypriniformes, Cyprinidae.